Molecule: ribosomal RNA, 497 nt
Filed under: uncultured bacterium
Lineage: Bacteria
Description: partial 16S ribosomal RNA
Rfam family: Bacterial small subunit ribosomal RNA
Source: RNAcentral
GAUGAACGCUGGCGGCGUGCCUAAUACAUGCAAGUCGAGCGAACAGACGAGGAGCUUGCUCCUCUGACGUUAGCGGCGGACGGGUGAGUAACACGUGGAUAACCUACCUAUAAGACUGGGAUAACUUCGGGAAACCGGAGCUAAUACCGUAUAAUAUAUUGAACCGCAUGGUUCAAUAGUGAAAGACGUUUUUUCUUUCACUUAUAGAUGGAUCCGCGCCGCAUUAGCUAGUUGGUAAGGUAACGGCUUACCAAGGCAACGAUGCGUAGCCGACCUGAGAGGGUGAUCGGCCACACUGGAACUGAGACACGGUCCAGACUACUACGGGAGGCAGCAGUAGGGAAUCUUCCGCAAUGGGCGAAAGCCUGACGGAGCAACGCCGCGUGAGUGAUGAAGGUCUUCGGAUCGUAAAACUCUGUUAUUAGGGAAGAACAAAUGUGUAAGUAACUAUGCACGUCUUGACGGCACCUAAUCAGAAAGCCACGGCUAACUACGUG